Molecule: ribosomal RNA, 1164 nt
Filed under: Microbacterium aquimaris
Lineage: Bacteria; Bacillati; Actinomycetota; Actinomycetes; Micrococcales; Microbacteriaceae
Description: bacterial SSU rRNA
Rfam family: Bacterial small subunit ribosomal RNA
Source: RNAcentral
AACGGCGUCUAAUACUGGAUAUGAGCUCUCAUCGCAUGGUGGGGGUUGGAAAGAUUUUUCGGUUUGGGAUGGGCUCGCGGCCUAUCAGCUUGUUGGUGAGGUAAUGGCUCACCAAGGCGUCGACGGGUAGCCGGCCUGAGAGGGUGACCGGCCACACUGGGACUGAGACACGGCCCAGACUCCUACGGGAGGCAGCAGUGGGGAAUAUUGCACAAUGGGCGCAAGCCUGAUGCAGCAACGCCGCGUGAGGGAUGACGGCCUUCGGGUUGUAAACCUCUUUUGGUAGGGAAGAAGCCUUCGGGUGACGGUACCUGCAGAAAAAGCGCCGGCUAACUACGUGCCAGCAGCCGCGGUAAUACGUAGGGCGCAAGCGUUAUCCGGAAUUAUUGGGCGUAAAGAGCUCGUAGGCGGUCUGUCGCGUCUGCUGUGAAAUUCCGAGGCUCAACCUCGGGCUUGCAGUGGGUACGGGCAGACUAGAGUGCGGUAGGGGAGAUUGGAAUUCCUGGUGUAGCGGUGGAAUGCGCAGAUAUCAGGAGGAACACCGAUGGCGAAGGCAGAUCUCUGGGCCGUUACUGACGCUGAGGAGCGAAAGGGUGGGGAGCAAACAGGCUUAGAUACCCUGGUAGUCCACCCCGUAAACGUUGGGAACUAGUUGUGGGGUCCUUUCCACGGAUUCCGUGACGUAGCUAACGCAUUAAGUUCCCCGCCUGGGGAGUACGGCCGCAAGGCUAAAACUCAAAGGAAUUGACGGGGACCCGCACAAGCGGCGGAGCAUGCGGAUUAAUUCGAUGCAACGCGAAGAACCUUACCAAGGCUUGACAUACGCCAGAACGGGCCAGAAAUGGUCAACUCUUUGGACACUGGUGAACAGGUGGUGCAUGGUUGUCGUCAGCUCGUGUCGUGAGAUGUUGGGUUAAGUCCCGCAACGAGCGCAACCCUCGUUCUAUGUUGCCAGCACGUUAUGGUGGGAACUCAUGGGAUACUGCCGGGGUCAACUCGGAGGAAGGUGGGGAUGACGUCAAAUCAUCAUGCCCCUUAUGUCUUGGGCUUCACGCAUGCUACAAUGGCCGGUACAAUGGGCUGCGAUACCGCGAGGUGGAGCGAAUCCCAAAAAGCCGGUCCCAGUUCGGAUUGAGGUCUGCAACUCGACCUCAUGAAGUCGGA